CAUGAUGUUCUUCAUGACGGCGUCGUGGAUUCGGCGUGAUUGACGGCAGUUCGUGGAUUCGGAUCGUGAGCUUCGUGGAUUCGGAGUGGAGGCGUUUCGUGGAUUCGGAACGUGGCGUUCAUGGAUUCGAACGUGAGGGCGUGGACAACCCGGAGGGUAGCGCGAAGAUUCAUAGGAGGUUAAGAGAGAUUGAGUCCGUGGAGUCGGUAAUCAGCUUGUAAUCUUUUCUCUUAGUGAAUUAUUUUUUCGCGUGUUGGUCCCGUGGGUUUUUCUCCAAGUUGGAGUUUUCCCACGUAAAUCUCGAUGUGAUUUUUAUUUUUCGCAUUUAUUUUUAUCGCAUUGAGAUUUGUGAUUUCUGGCUAUUACACCUAUUCACCCCCCUCUAGGUGUUAGAUACAAUCUAGAUAGAUCCUUGAGCUCCUCAAAACUUUCAAGUUACACUCUUUAGACGAAAGUUGCACUCUUUGGGUAAAAUUUACACAAUUUCUCUUUCUCUUCUCUUCCUUCUCCUUUCCCUCCACUUUUUCGUCCUCUUCCUCCUUUUUCCUCCUCUUCCUCCUCCUCCUCCUCCUCCUCCUCAUCCUUCCUCUUCAGCUCGCAACCGCUGUCGCCGCCAUCGUUGUACAUACCCUCGCCCCCACAGCCAUCCACAGCCGUCGCCGCCGCCGCCGAGAAGGUCCUCGAGCUUCGGGCCCCCUACUCCCGCCAUCACCAUAAGCUCCGCCACCGCCCCAUUUUCCUUCUCCUCCGCAACCCCCAUCUUCACUCCACCACCUAUUUAUAUACGUAUGCACGCACGCCUAGUAUGCGCAUAUAAAAAUUACGAGAAA
This 830-nucleotide long non-coding RNA is filed under the name Ananas comosus (pineapple). RNAcentral's name for it is "long non-coding RNA (ACOM_LNC004106)". Lineage: Eukaryota; Viridiplantae; Streptophyta; Magnoliopsida; Poales; Bromeliaceae. The record is from RNAcentral.